Sinocyclocheilus anshuiensis is the source of this 2791-nucleotide long non-coding RNA. Lineage: Eukaryota; Metazoa; Chordata; Actinopteri; Cypriniformes; Cyprinidae. The record is from Ensembl.
CAAUUUAACAUGAUUUUUUUGUUGUUUUGUUCUUUGUUCUCAUUUCUUCCACAGGCUCGGCUUCAGCGCACGCCCUCCAGCACAUCAGAGGAUUCCAUAAAGCUCCAGAGCAGCAGUUCCAUAGAGCGAGAGAUCUGGGAGGGCGACUUAUCUUCCAGCCCCAGGAAGAACUCUCUGUCCAGGAUGGACUCCAAACAGAAGGGCCGCAGCUUCUUCUCCCUGGGCGGCAAAACACAGAGCUUAGAAGGCCAAAACCAGAUCCCCACACGACUGCUUCAGCUGGCUUCAUCCAAGGAGAAGAAGGACAAAAAGAAGAAGAAGAGCAAGAGCCAGCCUCCUCAGGAUGCAGCAUCACAUCUGCUGCCCCUGACAGAGCCUUCAAUGGACGGAGAUAUAUUCUUCUGCUGAUUUACCCAUCAUCCCUUCUGUCCACAUCAUUGCCUCUCAUGGACUCUCUAUCAAAUCAUGUAGGAAGUCACCCAAAGUGCCCUCUACACAUUUCAGCAAUCUUUCUACAAUAUAAUAAAUCUCACAAAACAUGUCCAGGUCGCAUUACACCACAAAAUCAAAAGAAAAUUAAGAAAUCAUAUUUUGCCUAACCCAAAUCAGUCCUAUUUUAGGAUUGUUUUUAUUUUUUGUGACAUUAUUUUAAUAACAAUUUAGCCCCAAAAUUCUCAUUACCGUAAUGUAUAAAUAGUGGUAAUAUAUGAUUUCAAUUGUAAAGUAUUUAUAUACUACGGUAAAUGUUUUUGUAUUGCUUUUAAAUAUUGUUUUAUUACAGUAGUUUGUGCUGUAAUAAAGUUUGCUCUAUCACAGUAAUGAAAAUCACCAUUUAGAAUAAUAAUAAUUAUUAAUUAUUAUUCCAAAAAAGCUCAUGAUGCAAAAAUGGUAAUGGAAAUCUCAUUUAUAUAUAUAUAACUCAUCCAGACAGCAUAUAUGCGCUACACUUUAAAGUCUUAAGGUGCGUCCCAAAUCGCGUACUUAUGCACUAUUCUAUGACUAUUUGUAGUAUAAAUAGUGUGAGUAGUGUGUUCACACCAAAAAUUCCAAAAAGUAAAAAGUGCACUUUAAAUAUCCGGAUGAUGCACUUAAAUAAUCGAAAAAACGAAGUGUGGAAUGUUGAACACUUCAUGCACUCAACUGUCGCAGCUUUAAUUACGUAGUGAAGGGGGAGGGGCUAUCAAACUCCGUUAAUGAAUGACAAAAUAACCUUAUAUAAUUCAUACACUACAUGGUUGAGUACAUAGUGCGUAAGUACAUAGUGUAGUAGUGUAUAGUGCGUCAUUUGGGACGCAGCUUUAGAUUUGCACUUGCUUUUACAUGUUUAUCAGACAAAUCCCAUCUUUAAAUACAUUGUUAAAAUGUACAUUGUAUAUAAAUUUCAAUUACUGCACUCAUUUACAAAUGAAUUGUGCCACCAAAACAUUUUAAAAAGCAUAAAUGGGGUUUGCUGCUCCCCAUAUUGGCCAACUUUUUUAGGCUGAAAAAUCAUUUCGGCUCAUUGCACACAAGAAUGACCAUUUAAAAUUGAAUCACAGUUUUAACAUUUAAAGGGAUUCGGGGAGAGAGGUGGUUUUCCAUAUUCCCCAUGUUUUCUAUUUUAGCUUCUCGAAGGAGUCCCGUCUUUGAAAUGCCACCGAGCACUUUAACACCAUUCAUACGUUACCCUUGCCCCGAAAAUGACAAUCAAUUUUUCAAUAGCAUUCCAAAGAUAAAGCCCUAGGGACAGGGCUUUUGGGGGCCAUUGUUUAACAUACCAUGGCAUUUCAUGCUAGUUUGAGAUUCUCUAAUCCUUCUGCGUUGAAUACUUCAUGACUUUAGCAGGACGGAUGAGCUGUAAAUACUGUAUGAACUGUAGACCCCUGAGGGAUAUUUAAAGCAACCUGCUGGACAGGUAAAAGAGAUAAACAUCCACGAAAGAUAGUGUACCUCACCUAUACAUCCACCCUUAUGGAUCAAAGCACCAUAUCAUAUCUGAAUAUCAGUAAUAAUACAUUUAACACUGUUUUGGCGCUCAGAGUGUCCACUUAUUUCAUCAUGCAUGAAUAUCCACAUUACAGUCCUGCAGGAUUUUGUUCUGUUGGCCUGAUUUUGUUAGGAGUUAUUUAUUGGUCCAUGAGAUUUUUUAUUUAAUUUUUUUAAAGCAGUACAUGCUCUUAAAGUCCCAUUUGUGUAGGUUUGCGUUGCAGUUUUCACCUGCGCUGACUUGAUUCCACCAUGAGGGGGCAGAAGAGAAGCGUUUUAUAAUUGAAGGCUCCUCUGUGGAUUUACAUAAUCUCUCAGUGAUGUCAGAGGAGACACAGUGACACAUGCACAAAGGGAAUCAUUGGUUCAUCAUUUAAGGAGAACUGUGCCUAUGGCCUUACAGAACUGUCAGUGACACUUUUGUCCUCAGGAACAAACAGGGAAAACUCAAUCCAGGCGGUAUAGUGUUGCCGUGUCUCAUGCGUAAACGAAAACUGAAGUUGCUCAGCCUUAAAGAAAUCAUGGUGUGUGCUAAAAUAUAAUCCAGCAUUCUCUCAGGAGUAUAGGUUUGUUUGUUCAUCUGUGUUUUGAAAGUAAGGUAUCAUUUGUACAUUGAGGUACAUACGUUCUCUUGCUUUAAAAAAAAAAAGGAAGAACUAAUGUUAUGUAAAUAUUUUGUGUUUAAUAUGUUUAAAUGUAAAAUUUUGUUUCAUUUGUGAUUUAUUUUGUAAGAUGUGUUUUGUGAGAUGUAAGGCUUUAUUUAUCAUUGAUUCCCUUGUCUUGAAGCAGAAGACAAUAUUUCCUCACAUUAAAAGCUAUUGCAAUU